AAAUAAUGCUUUAAAAUUUGUUUAUCUAGUAUCGAAUAGACAUGUUCAUAUUCAAAAUUAAACGUAUUGUAGGAUGUAAGCAUCUGAUUUUAACCACAUAGCAAUCUCAACUAAGCAAAGUAAAUAAAACUAAACCCACAUCUAAGCACAUCAGAGAAAAACUGAAGAAACGUGAAUCAAAAGAAAAUGUGAGAGAAGACACCUCUGUAUUUGUAGGCUCUCCCCACAUCUUGUGAGUCACUAAAGAAAAACCAGUUGUUCCAAUUGUUUUAACAAAACCAGGAACUGAGAUUCUAAAUUUACAUACUCUCAUACCAUUUUAUGUUUAUGAGAAAUACAAAUCUAGAAUGUGGAAGUUAAGAACUGCCUGUUUAAUAAAAUCAUCUUGAAACAGAAAGAAGGCAGGAAGGGAAAAAAGAAAGAAAGAAGGAGACAGAAAAAGAGAAAGAAAACAAGGAAAGAAACUAGGAAAAGAGGAAGGCAGGAACAAAAGAAGGAAUGGAAGGAGAGAGUGAGGAAGGGAGGGGGAGAGGAAAAGAAGGAAAGAAGAAAGAAAAGUGUUAAAAAAAAGACCAAAGGAAGAAGAGAGAUGAUCUAAAAAGAAGAAAACAUUACUCUAGAGCUUCUCAAACUGGCAUCUUAUGGACCCCUAAGAAUUUGUGCAUUUUAUAUAGGGAUCCAUAAAUUUCCUAAAAUUGUAUCCAAAUUGUUCCAUUUAAUUAAUCUAUCUAUCUAAAUAUCUAUUGCUAUGGUUUGAAUGUAUCCCCCAACAGUUCAUGUGUUGGAAACUUAAUCACUAUUGUAACAAUAUUAACAGGUGGGUCUUUUAAGAGAUGAUAGGGUCACCAGGGUGGAGCUCUUGUGAAUGGAUUAAUAUCAUCAUCUAGGGUGUGAGUUCUCUUGGGAGUGAAUCAGUUUUCACGGGACUGAGUGAGUUUUCUUGAGAGUGGGUUGUAGUAAAAGCAAGCUGGCUGCCUCUGUGAUUUCCUUUGCUUGUGCUCAGCAGUUCUUCUGCUCUUCUGUCAUAAGAAAACAUAAAGAAGACCCUCACUAGAUACCUGAGUCAUGUUCUUGAACUCCCCAGCCUCCAGAACUGUAAUAAAUAAAUUUUUCUUUAUAAACUACCCAGUCUAUGAUAUUUUGUUAUAGCAACAGAAAAUAAACAAAGGCAUCUAUCAUUGUAUUACUAGAUAUAAUAUACAUAAAUUUUAUACAAACCGUAC
This 1223-nucleotide long non-coding RNA is filed under the name Homo sapiens (human). Its description in RNAcentral is "HSALNT0162937". The record is from RNAcentral. Lineage: Eukaryota; Metazoa; Chordata; Mammalia; Primates; Hominidae.